GUCCACGCCGUAAACGAUGGGCACUAGGUCCUUGGGGGAGCGACCCCUUGAGGGCCGGCGCUAACGCAUUAAGUGCCCCGCCUGGGGAGUACGGCCGCAAGGCUGAAACUCAAAGGAAUUGACGGGGGCCCGCACAAGCGGUGGAGCAUGUGGUUUAAUUCGACGCAACGCGAAGAACCUUACCUGGGCUUGACAUGCACGGGAACUCGUGGGGAAACCCGCGGGGCUCUUCGGAGCUCGUGCACAGGUGCUGCAUGGCUGUCGU
This 265-nucleotide ribosomal RNA is filed under the name uncultured bacterium. RNAcentral's name for it is "partial 16S ribosomal RNA". It matches the Rfam family "Bacterial small subunit ribosomal RNA", at positions 793 to 1055 of the family's 1533-position model. The record is from RNAcentral.